CCUACGGGUGGCAGCAGUGGGGAAUAUUGCGCAAUGGGCGAAAGCCUGACGCAGCGACGCCGCGUGAGGGAUGAAGGUCUUCGGAUCGUAAACCUCUGUCAGCAGGGAAGAACGGUCACUGUGCUAAUCAGCAGUGCAUUGACGGUACCUGCACAGGAAGCACCGGCUAACUCCGUGCCAGCAGCCGCGGUAAUACGGAGGGUGCGAGCGUUAAUCGGAAUUACUGGGCGUAAAGCGCUCGUAGGCGGUGUGUCAAGUCGGGGGUGAAAUCCCCGGGCUCCACGUGGGAAGGGCAUUUGAAACGGGAGAACUGGUGGGCAGAAGCGGAGAGUGGAAUUCCAUGUGUCACGGUGACAUGCGUAGAUAUAUGACGUAACACCAGUGGCGAGGGCGACUCUCUGGGCUGUAACUGACGCUGAGGCUCGCAAGCGUGGGUAGCAUACAGGAUUAGAUACCCUUGUAGUC
Molecule: ribosomal RNA, 465 nt
Filed under: uncultured bacterium
Lineage: Bacteria
Description: partial 16S ribosomal RNA
Rfam family: Bacterial small subunit ribosomal RNA
Source: RNAcentral